Molecule: ribosomal RNA, 435 nt
Filed under: uncultured bacterium
Lineage: Bacteria
Description: bacterial SSU rRNA
Rfam family: Bacterial small subunit ribosomal RNA
Source: RNAcentral
AACGCGAAGAACCUUACCUAAGCUUGACAUCCUUUUGACCUCUCCCUAAUCGGAGAUUUCCCUUCGGGGACAAAAGUGACAGGUGGUGCAUGGUUGUCGUCAGCUCGUGUCGUGAGAUGUUGGGUUAAGUCCCGCAACGAGCGCAACCCUUGUCUUUAGUUGCCAUCAUUAAGUUGGGCACUCUAGAGAGACUGCCGAGGAUAACUCGGAGGAAGGUGGGGAUGACGUCAAAUCAUCAUGCCCCUUAUGCUUAGGGCUACACACGUGCUACAAUGGGUGGUACAGAGGGCAGCCAAGCCGUGAGGUGGAGCAAAUCCCUUAAAGCCAUUCUCAGUUCGGAUUGUAGGCUGAAACUCGCCUACAUGAAGCUGGAGUUACUAGUAAUCGCAGAUCAGAAUGCUGCGGUGAAUGCGUUCCCGGGUCUUGUACACACCG